UAACUUCGAAAAAUAUAUUAAUCAACUAAUACCUUCGAGUAAUCAACUACUAAAUUAAGUCGAAACAAAAAUGAUAGAAACAUCAAAAUCAAAUAUCGAAACAUUAUACAUCUCUAAUAGAUUAGAUAAUAGAAAAAUAAACGAAAAAUCUCCAGGUUAGAGAAUAGAUUGAUAGUGGCCGAACAAAGAAGCACCACCGCAAUACCCCCAAGCCCAAUUAUAUGUGGCAAAACAAAGAACCAAUAAACAUAUUAAAAAAUAAAUUUAAAAUUGUAGUCGAUUACCGUAAUCAAAUAAUAAAAUUGUUUUAUGGAUCCAACCGAG
This 324-nucleotide long non-coding RNA is filed under the name Erythranthe guttata (spotted monkey flower). Its description in RNAcentral is "long non-coding RNA (EGUT_LNC000564)". Lineage: Eukaryota; Viridiplantae; Streptophyta; Magnoliopsida; Lamiales; Phrymaceae. The record is from RNAcentral.